CCCUUAGAUGUCCUGGGCCGCACGCGCGCUACACUGACAUGUUCAACAAGCCUCCUAGUUCGACAGGAUUUGGGAAAUCUUUGAACGCAUGUCGUGAUAGGGAUAGAUCAUUGCAAUUAUUGAUCUUGAACGAGGAAUUCCUAGUAAACGCGAGUCAUCAGCUCGCAUUGAUUACGUCCCUGCCCUUUGUACACACCGCCCGUCGCACCUACCGAUUGAAUGUUUCGGUGAAGAUUCCGGAUAGGACUUUUUUGAUUUAUUUCAAUUUUGUCUUAAAAGCUAUCUAAACCUCAACAUUUAGAGGAAGGUGAAGUCGUAGCA
This 321-nucleotide ribosomal RNA is filed under the name uncultured eukaryote. Its description in RNAcentral is "partial 18S ribosomal RNA". It matches the Rfam family "Eukaryotic small subunit ribosomal RNA", at positions 1470 to 1796 of the family's 1831-position model. The record is from RNAcentral.